GGGUAGCUCUUUGGAGCUCGCUGCAUUGGGUAAUUUCAUUUAAGGGAAGAAAAAAUUACUUUUUUUUUUCCUUUUUUGGGUUAUUGAUUUUGUUUUGUUUUGUUUUGUUUGAAGGUCCGGGGACGAUGUUUUGUGAUAAUUUGGGCUAUAUAUUCAUGUUCUUGUUUAUAGCUACUUCCAACAUGGUUGCUACUUCACUUGCUAGAAAAGAAGCAUUUGAAAGAAGCUAUGACCAAGUCUUUUAUUUCAUCCCAGAUUAUGAGAAGCAAAGUGUGUCAAGAGAUGAAAUCGAGAUAUUGCCACAAAUUACUACUAAAAGGAUGGGAAGAAAUAGAACUAGACGUAUAAACAAUAGAAUAAUUUACAAAAGUCCACUGAAAUGUUCUUGAUGCAAAGUUCAAGGUCACAAUUAAGCCAAUAUUCACUCUCCGCAUGGGCUUCUGCACUCUCAUCGUCAUCAUGGGGUGAUUGUCGAUAUACUGUUUAUAUGUCAAAAAUCGUUGGUGUAGUAUGUUAAAAGCUUUGUUGCUCAUUCCUUGGGAUGUUUCUGAUUAGCAUUGUGAAUCUGAAUGGUUGUUGGUUUUCAAAUAUAAGUAGCAACUGAUGUUGAUCUGUGGUCUUAUUAAUUUUUGGUGCU
Asparagus officinalis (garden asparagus) is the source of this 637-nucleotide long non-coding RNA. RefSeq lists it as uncharacterized. The record is from RefSeq and is a predicted model, not a curated record. The transcript has 2 exons. Lineage: Eukaryota; Viridiplantae; Streptophyta; Magnoliopsida; Asparagales; Asparagaceae.